AAAUGAUGAAUUACAAAUGUUUGCAACGCCCAUCAAUGUGUGGGGAAGAAGUUCAUGAUUGACAAAGAAAAAUAAUGGGCCUUUAAUGGAAGGUAAUGACUGAAACAAAUCUGCUUCUUCAGCUGUAACAAGGGAACAUAUACAAAGAAGAUGAAUAAGAACCAACCUAAGCUUCCCAACCCCUUAGCGUCGUGGCACGAGCAACUCGCUUCACUCCCAAUGUGAAGGCUCCCAUUCGAAGACUGCAGUUGUGUGAUUGACACAUUGCCUUAAUGUUAUGAAAAGCUUUGGUCAUGUACUUCUGAAGCUCAUAAUUCACCUUCUCUUCUUCCCACAUAAAACCUUGAAUAUUCUGCCAACAUAAAACCAUUAAUCCUAAGAUGUUACUACUACUUUCCCCAUCAAUUAUCUGUGUUUCAAACGAUAUAAUUUUUCAUAAAACCCAUGAUAUAUAAGAAAUAUAGAGGGAAUUACCUGAACCCACUCAAAAUAGCUCACGGUCACACCUCCAGCAUUAGCAUAGAUGUCAGGCAGGAUUACGACUCCUUUCUUGGAUAGAAUCUGCAGAGAUAUCAUCAAUGCCAACUUCUUCUUCUAUGGUAUUUAAGUAUGUACCAUACACAAAUACUAUGUUACCUCAUCAGCUUCUGGAUCAGUAGGAUGAUUUGCUGCUUCUAUUAUGAACUUUGCCUUAACAUCCGCAGCAUUUUCUCUUCAGAGGGAAAAAAACAUAAAUGAGUUUAGAUGAAAUCAUCUGGAUGAGUUAGGUUAAAGGAAGUAAAAUCAUGCCCUUUUCCACUUUUUACCAUCAAAAGAUUUGCGAGGUUUCUAACCAGAAAAACUAUUGGAUAUUCACUUAAUGACUAAAUACAGCACAAGCACAUUUCAUGAAACUUCUCCCCACAAUAAAAGGGUAACAGAACAUGUGUAACAUCUUUACCUAACUUUGGCAAUUCAUUGUAUGGCAAUUUGAUACAAUUGCAGCAUUCUGAUUCAAUCUUUCAGAUUCAACACGGUAUCUCAAACUAAGUUGCGUCAUGUUUCUUCAUGGUAUUGAGAUGUCUCUACUUCAUUUUAUGUGUAUGUUCAUUGUUUUUAUGAUCUUAAUGUAUGGAAAAGACAAGUUUCUCAAUUCAAAAAAGGCACAUGUCAAAAGAAACCCAAAACAAAAAAGGCACCAAGUAAAGAAGAAACUGAAAGGCAAGGAGCAAGUUUCUGAGGAAAACAAGGACUCAACUUGUUAAGAACUCCACCUAGAGCACAUGGGAUGAGAACAUCACAUUCAUGUGUGAGCAGUUCAUUCGGAUCCAUGUGAUCUCCGCCACUGAAAUUCGUUAGACAACCAGUCUCUUCUUUGUGCCUAAGCAAAUCCACUAUAUCAAGCCCAUUUUGGUUCUUAACAGCUCCAGUGAUGUCACUCACCGCUAUGAUUUUACCACCUCUCUCAUGGAUGAGUCUUGCUACCCAAGAUCCAACAUUGCCAAAACCCUGAAAAGUUUUUUUAUUUUCCAUUUAAAUAACCGAACUUUCUAACUACGCAUCAAGAACAGAAAUAGAAAGGAUUUAAUCCAAUAUUUUACCUGAAUAACAAAUGUCAAACCCUUGAUUGACUUCCCAUGUUGCGCAAGUAAAGCUUCAGUUGCGAAAACAACACCUUGACCAGUUGCAGCCUCCCUACCGAGGGAUCCACCAAGAUCCUAAAAGCCCAAAUGUAAAUGAGGCCACAGAACAAGAAACAACAGUUACAAAUUCGUUUCUCAACUUCAAAGGUUUACACAAAUCUAAAUCAUAGAUGCUCGGUUUUUUGUCGCAAAUACUUACUAUUGGCUUUCCAGUCACUACAGCCGGUGAGUGACCAUGGAAUUUUGAGUACUCGUCGAAAAUCCAUGCCAUAGUCUGCUCAUAUUUAUAAAUAUUUCAGUUCCAUGAAUGAAGAAUAUUUCAAGAGUGUUACAGACAAAAGAUAACCUGAGCAUUAGUUCCCAUGUCUGGUGCAGGUAUAUCGAUAUGAGUUCCAAUAAGAUCAUGAAUCUUUUGAGUAAAGACACGAGUAAGACGUUCCAACUCACUCAUACUCAAGUCCCUUGGGGUGCACCCAAUGCCACCCUUUGCACCACCAUAGGGAAUGUCAACUACAGCGGUCUUCCACGUCAUCAAUUGAGCCAGCGCAUUUACCUCAUCAGGAUCCACCUUUGAAAACAAAUGAAGAAACGUAUCAGUAAAACUAAAUGCAACCAGGUUUUUAUUUGCAAGAAAUCAAAGCAAACAAGUUUGAAGAUAAAAUAAUUCCUUCUAACUCAGCACCAAAGUCCCCCAACAAAAUAAAUACAGAGCCAUAUAUCCAGAAAAUUACCGCGAACAACUUCUUGAAAGGAAAACAAAACAACUCAUUGAAUUUGAUUAUGCAAAUUGAGAACACACAAAUUAACAUAACAUCCAAAAUAGAAUUCAUCAUGCCACUCAUCCCAAAAAGACUUUCGACUGUAUAAUAAUUAUCAGUUUUAUCACAUAUUUCGGUUGGACCAUGUUUGCCAAAAUCACUGAAAACAAUUUCCAAGAUUCCAAAAAAAUAAAAUAAAAAUGCACACCCAACAUUUCGAUAUAGAAAUCUUGAACGUGAGAUUUCGAGAUAAUCAUCUCUGUACAAGAUACAAUAAGGGCAUGUUUGGAUCCAUUAUGAAAUGAAAUCAUUCCACUAUGAUUAUUGCAUUUGAACAACUCCCUUUCCAUGGUACACCCAAAAACCACUUAGACAAAACCCAAAUCAACCGGAAAUUCCAAGAACCUAAAAGGAAACCCCCUAAAAUCCGUUUGCUUGCCGAGAAAAUAGGGGGAAAAGACAAGAAAAAACAAACUACAAUCCUACAAUCCCGAAUCUCAUGUUCUGUGCUACAAGAAAUUACAAAGUCAAGUAAGCCCCACAACAUACCUAGACUCUACUACCCUAACAAAAACAAAAAAAUUCAAAUCUCUCCUUUUCAUUCCCAACUUUUCUCAGCAAUCAAACAGGACAAAAUCCGAAAACAAACAAAAGAAUCAGUGAAUCACAAACCUCAGGGUGAUAUCUGAUCCCUCCCUUCAUGGGCCCACGAGCAUUAUCAUGCUGCACACGGAACCCCACAUACGUCGCCAAACUUCCAUCAUCCUUCGGAAUCGUGCACUCCACCUAACAACACCACCACCAAAAGAUCAAAAUUCUGGAAAAAAUUCUUAGGAAACAAACACAACCCAUGAACCCAAAAACAAGAUUCUGGCUAAAGAAAAUAAAUAAAUAAAUAAAUAAAUCCCGGGAAUCAAACGGAACCCAUGAACAAAAACCCCAGAAUUCCAACCUUGAUCUCUCUGAAAGAAAUCAGAAGACUCUUCUCCAGCUUGGAGUCCAACCCAAGAAUGCGGGAAGCAUGGCGAAAAUUGCGGUUAGUGGCUGCUAGAGCAUUCAUUGCCACAAAAACAAAACCCAGAAUAGAAAACGAUUGCUAGAAAAAGAAGCAGACCCAGAAAAACAAAAAAAAGAAAUGCAAGAAAAUGAAAGAAAAAAUUGGAGAAUUGAAGAGUAGAAAGAGAUUACAACAGAAAUGUGAAUGAACUGACUGAUGGGUAAGUAGAGUAUUGAUAGAUAGAAGUAGAGAGCAAGAGGGAGGGACCGGAGGAGGGCAGUUAAGGCGCUCAAGAUGGCGUGUUCAGGUUGUUACAAAUUACAGUCCCCUCUGGAUUAUGCAGAGCUGACUACUCGUGCCAUUCCCGCUACCCAAAAUUACUAAAACACCCUUUUCCUUCCCAAACUUAUUUUCUAAUUUCUCUUUUCUAUUUUAAAAAUUAGAAGCUAAAAUGGAAAAUAAUCCUCACUUUAAAAAAUACCUUCAAUUUUUUUAAUUAUAAAUAUAAGAUUAAUUAAUUAUAAAAAGAAUUUAUUUUUCUUUUUAAAAAAGUGUCUUAAUAUAAAAAAAAUAGAGGAUAUUUUAAGCCUCUAUAAAAUCUAUCUUAAUUUAAUUUUAAAUAGACAACAAACCUGUAGACCCCCACUCUGGGUGAUUCUUGCAGCGGCCUAGCUUGCCAAUUGGAGGAACCUUGGGAGGCCACGUGUCGACCCAUGAUUGGCUGCCAGUGAAUCUCAGGAGUGGGCUGGAGGUGCAAAUGAAAAUGGGACACGUUGCAUGGGAAUCUGGAAGCCGUUAUGGAGGAGGCGUCUCUGGCAGCUGGAGGAGGGGGUGCUUUUUGGUGCAGGCUUUUUGGACGUGCUGCCGGGAAGAUAUUGGGAGGAGAUGACAGGCUGUAGCGGAGGGAGUUUUGGAGGAGAAGACUUGAGAGGGGAAAGGUGAGAAAAAGCUUAGAGGAGGAGGGUGACUGGACCAGAGAGUGAAAGGGAAGUAUAGCAGAAGAACAGAGGAGUCUGCUUGCUCAUUUCUGCUAGAAAGGAGCUCUCCCAGGUGCGGGCAUGGUCGUUUUUAGUUCAUAUUUUCCUGUCACAUUGUUUUUCAGGGUUUUUCUGUGUGUUUAACUCUCAUUCACUAUUUAGAUGUGCUUACCCUGCUAAUAUCUGAUUCUCUUGGGUUUCAUUUGAAGUUAUCACGUACAUGGAUUGUAUGAAUUGAUUUAAUUUUCUCCUUCAUCCCACCAGUUUUGAGCCCAUAGAUUGACCUUGAGAUGAGACUACAUGAGUUCUCUAUCUUUCAUGAUUAUUAUUUUCUUCUAUUUUUCUUUCUUUCUUCUCUUUCACUAUUUGUUGUUGCUCAAAGAGAUGCUCUGUUUCUUCGUAACUGUUUCAUCAAUACCUUGCAUGAGGUGAGAUUUAUGGAAGGGCAAAGACGGGUAAGUUUGUGUUAAAGGAGGCUCAUAGAGAUGCCAACGAAAGAGCGGGACAUGGGAUGAUGACUGGUUUUGUUAGGACAUUGUUUUUAGAGAGAGAACCAGAAUGAAAGCCUAAGGCAAGAGGGGGAGUAACAGAGCAUUUUUUUUCAGAAGAGAUAGCUUGAGAAUAAGGAAAAGACAGAGGAGGCUUCCUUCAGCUAGAGGAUGGGAGCCUGAGAGGUUUUGAGGUGAGAUUCUGGAGGAGUCGUUGGAGCAGCUCUCGCGGUCACUGACCUCCGUCGCGGGAGACGGUGAUGGUCAGGCCGUCGGAAUCACGUAGGACUAGUUGACGUGGCUGAGCGCUGCGAUGACGAACCAGGACGCGUGUACCGAGGGUUUCGACGACGUGAGUGGAUUCUUGAAGGAUCGGUCUGACACAUUGAAGCUGGGGGAGAGUUCACUAUUUCUAGUGCUGAUGACAUCCUCAAAGCCAAUGUUUUAACAACCGGACCGGACCGCCGGUCCAACUGUUGACAGGUCGCAUUUCCGAUCCGGUCCACCCUAUUAAACCGUUUAGCUAUUGGACUGAUUACGAACCGUCUAAACUAGCGGUCGAACCGAUGAACAGGACGAUUCUAACGAACCGAACAAUCCAUAUUGGCCCAUCAUUUUGCAAGCCCAUUGUAUAAAAAAUUAAAAGCUGUAGGCCAAGCCAUGUAUUAGCAUGACAAAGCCUACACCCAGUCUUGAGCCCACAAGGUAGGCGUGUAGCUUUCAAUGAAGAUACCUUUUAGAGGCAUCCUUUGCACCCUUAUUUCUCUCAUAAACAGGAUUGAAAACUAAUGUGAUAAUAUCAAUGAAAAAAAUUUAACAAAUGCAACAAGAGGAUUUUGAAGGUGGGGGACCUCAAGUUUUGUAAGUAGACUAGGACACCACUUGACUACCCGUGAUUUGUUAUUGAAUAUGCCAAAUAAAACAAUAUAUAUUGGAUUUUUUUUUAUAAUAUUAAAUAAAAAUAAUAUAAUAUUUUUAAAAAUUAUAAAAUUAGUUAAAAUUUUCAUUUUUAAUAUAUUCACAUUUAAAUAUUGUAUAUAUUUCAUUUAAUAUGAUUUAAUUUGAUAAUAUCAAAUAUAUAAAAUAAUAUUAUUGAUUUUUAAUUUAUUCAUAUAUAUUUUUAAAUUUUUAUAAUUAUUUUUAAUUUUAAUAAUAUAUAAAUUACAUAUUUAUGAUGUUACCGGUACAACCGCGGUUCGACCACCGGUUCGACCGGUGAACCGUGAAUCGGUAACUUUUCCGAUUCAAUGACGGGUCCGAUUUCGAAAACAUUGCUCAAAGCUAUCUUAAUCACUGUUUCUAGUGUCGAUGACAUCCUCAAAGCUAUCUGAAUCCUUGAAUUUUGCAUACCUCAAGGGAGAAGUUAAUUUGACUGCCCUUGGAAGACUGAUGGCAAGAUGUCCUAAUCUCAAGAGUUCUAGGUUGAACCGUGCGGUGCCCCUUGAUGCACUCCAAAGAAUUCUUGCGCAUGCACCUCAACUUGUGGACUUAGACACUGGUUCUUAUGUUCAUGAUCCAGAUGCUGAGACGGUCAUCAAACUUAUAAGUACCUUCCAGAAGUGUAAAUCAAUGAGGAGCAUGUCAGGUUUUCUGGAAGUUGCUCCUCUAUGCCCGCCAGCUAUUUACCCCAUUUGCUCAAAUCUGACCUCCUUGAACCUGAGUUAUGCUCCGGGGAUGCAUGGAGAUGAGCUGAUAAAGCUAAUCCACCACUACAAGAAACUUCGGCGACUGUGGAUAUUAGAUUGCAAUGGUGGACACAAAGAAAGAAGUUUGAUCACCAUCUUGGCAAAUUGCUGAGGGACUUGGAAGAUUUAUGGUUGGGUCCCUGGGGAUACUUGCUUUUGGGGGAAUGUUUGGACUGUGAACGCUUGGAUUUGAUACAUAAGAAGCUGGUGCAGGAUCUGAAAUCUGCUCCUUCACUGUAAGUCUUGGAAAUGGCCAGUGUACCCAAAAUAGAACCAAUGAGAAUCAGGCUCAGUUUUUGGUUGAAGCGCCAAUAGCCGUUCUUCCUUGGUGUCCUAUUCGUGGACUUUUCACUCAUGAGCCUUAUCAGGUAUGGGGAUUGCCAUCUCAUGGAAAUGGUCCUACCUUCAGCCAUCAAUUAAAUCUCCUUCCUCCUCCCUGCAAUGCUCCUGCCCAAGGCCUCCCUGGCAUGUUGCACUAUGGCAAUUGGGGUACCUUUUCUCCAACAAGUGAGAAUUCUAGCAGGGCCAAUCCGACUGUUCCCUCCAUGAUGGGACUGUCUUGGGUUGCUUCUGGCAGAGCACCAAGUCUGCAAUCAGUCACUCAGCCAGUUGUUCUCGACCAUGGAUCUGGUGCUUUUGGCCCUUUGCUCUCUCCGAUUGGUUCAUCUGUGACGUAUACAACAUCACCACCUGCUCAGCCUGCUGACUUUUACAUGUUUCCUCCUUCAGGCUCAGGCUUGUUGGGCCAGAUUCCCAGGCAAGCAGUUCCAAGUCCAAUCAUCCAUAACCGCAUAUUGGGACUUGACAGAAGAAUGCCGUUUCGGAUGAACUAUAUAUGCUGUUUCUUAAGGAGUUCCAAGCCUUCUGGCUUCUUCACCACCUUCUACUUCUCAGGAGGUGAUCUCAAGUGGUGACAAUGUCCAAGAUUUGAAACCCAUAGUGAGUGGUAUAUCAUAGACCUUACGUCCUGUGGUUCCUGCUGCAACAAAUGAAGAGGACCACCUAAGAGAUGCUCUCAAGUUUGCUAGUGCUUGUGGUGCAUUGACCGUCAAUGGAGGGAAAUGUGCAAACAAGCAGCCGCGGAUCACCAACUUCAGAGUAGAGUACCAUUUGCACCUCAGGUCCACGUGCAUGGCCACCUUUAUCAUGGCCACGUGACAUUCUCGGUUUUCUUCUUAUUUGAUUUUGAAAAUGUUUUCUCAAAUCUCAUUUUGCAAAUAUCUUUCUCUAAAUCUGAUUUUCAAAUAAUCGCAAUUUUCUCAUCUUUCAUCCUUAGAAUUUUUAGGAUCAUCCAAGAGUCUCAUUUUCAAUAAAAUUUGGCCGUCAUUUUCUUUUCGGCUAGCCACUUAUGAAGUUUUCAUGAUUUUAAAAUAUUUUAAAAUAAACAUGAAUUUAAAUUCCAUAAUUCCAAUUAAUGGAAUUUACGAAAUUAAUUCAUACAAAAGUAAACGGGCUUUGAUGGAGGCCCGACAUAUAUGAUUUUAUGAUUGAUUGAUUUAAUUGUUAUGCGUGAUUGAUUUCUUCUGCUUUGUGAUACGUAUAUAUUCAUCCUAUAUUGAUUUACUAACCCCCCUCUUGAUAGCGCAUAUUGGUUCGUCACCUAGGUACGUAUUUUCUCACAUCAUGGUCACUCCUUAUGCUUGUUUUAAUUCUCAUACGUGCAUGAUCGAUUUGGGUAUUCAUUGACUUUCUCAUUGGUUGCCAUGUCAGCUCCAUUUUAUUAGUAGAGACACGACUUUAGGGACUUAGAGGGGUGCUACGGUCUUUACCGUACCUUCUUGAUAAGUAACCUGACCCCCGAACCCAAUCCGGUUUUUCACAGACCACCUUUUUCAAAACAAGGAAUCACCCUUAAGGUUUUUCUUUCUUAUUUUGUUUACCCUUUUAAAAAUAAAACAAAAAUAAGUGGCGACUUCAAGUCAUUUUCUUAACAAAUAAAAAUCAUUUUUCAAAUUAAAUAAAAAUCGAGCUCGUCAUCGAGUGGAAAACGCAUGAGCUGGAAAUGCGAGGUCCACAAAACCCUUUUUUUUUUUUUUUUAUAAAAUAAUUGUCUAUGAAAUAAAUGUGAAUUUAUUAGAGGGUAUUUCAUGCCCAGAAAAAAGUUAUUUUAAAAUUGAAUUUUUUUUUAAUUUAAAAAUUAUUUUAUUCAAUUUAAUCAAUUUUUUUACUUUAACAAAGAUAGAAAAAACGGUUAUUUAAGGAAAUAAAAAAUUGGGACGUAUUUUGUAAUUGUUUUUUAAAAAGGUUUUGAAAAAUAGUAUUUAAUAACAGUUUUUGAAAAUUGUUUUUUUAUGUUUUGUAGAACAAAAGUCUAUUUUAAGAGUUUAAAAAUGUUUUUAAUAUUUUUUAAAUAUGUUUUAAAAAUAAUUUUUUGUUAACCAAACUUUUAUAAACUUUAUGCGGAAAUAAUUAUUUCAAAAAUAAUUUUGGAUGCAUAAAACAAAAUAAAUAUAAGUACUAAAAUCAUGAUUAUAUUCUUACCUUGAUCCAUGCAAAAACAUUUUUGAAGUGAGAUUGAGUCACCUUAUUAAUUGUAUUGUCAAGCUCUUUAACUCAUUAUUUUCAUAUAGUGGAUGAGUCACUUCUAUGGUGUAUGUUGUUAAAAAUAAAACAACGGACAUAAGAAUAAGAGUGUGACUUGAGACCUUAAUUUAUAAAAAGUUUCACAUCUGUCUUCCCUUCAAAGAUUAUGUGAGAAUUAUACUCAUUAUUUAUAACCAUUAUGUACAAAUUAAUGGGUAUAGUGAGUUAUGAAUUUGAAUGCAUCUACAUAAUUGCAUAGUUUAUACUUUUCCAUUUUCCUCCAUUACUCAUAAACAUAAUGUACAAAUUAAAUUUCAUAAUGAUGGAGUUACAAAAGUUGUAAUAUCAUAUUCAUAUAAAUUAAAUUUUCUAACUUCAUAUUUAUAAUUUGAGUCUUCCAUACAUAAGACUCUUGAUGCCCAAUCAAUUGAUUCACCUACCUAUCAAUUGAUACCCUUAAAUAAUAUUUAUACAAAUAUAAUUAUAUAUGACCACACAUUAAGGAAUUUUGAUUGUUUCCUCGAUGUUUCAUUGUUUCCUAUUAUUUUUAUUUUUUUAAUAUUGAAAAUAGUGACUAAAUUUUGAUCCUUUUUCCCAUUUAAAAACUAAUUUUUUUAAUUACUAUAUAUUUUUAUUUAAAUAUUCCAAUUGGACCUUUGGAGACAUGAUGGGUAGUCAUCAAAUUUCCUAUAUUUUUAUUAUUUUAUAUUUAUGAUUAUCUUUCCUUCAUUCAUUAAAAUGCUAUCACCUACCUUACAUAACUACCAAUUAGACAUAUAAAAGAUCAUUGGUCAUGUAGGGAUCCUAUUAGUGCAACUGUGAUUCCAGUAAGUUUAGAUUUUUUUAUUAUUGAGAUAGGUGAAUUCUUAUAGAUCUAUCUUUGAAAAAAUCGAACACGAUAAUUUUUCAUCAUUGGACUCUCGAGCAAGAAUUAAAAGAACAAAAUGUAUGACUAUAUAAUUUUUAUUUAAAUAUUAAUAAAUAUUAUGGAAUUUUUGACAACUAAUACUUCAUUUUUGAACUAAAGCCACAAUUACCAACUGAGACUUUAUUUUUAAACUAAAACCUCAAUUGACAACUGAUACAUAAUUUUUGAACUAAACCCGCAAUUACCAAAUGAUGCUUUAGUUAAUUUUUUUUUUAAAUUUAAAAUUUAAUUAAAAAUUGUUAAAUUACAAUUUAUGAUUGAAAUUUAAAAAAUAUAUUUAAAAAAUAAAAUAUUUAUAUUUAAACUUAAGAAUCUAGUAUUACUUCAAUAAACAUAAAUUAAUAAAUAGAAGAUAUUAUAAAUGAAUAUUUUAUUUAUUAAUAAAUUAAUAAUCUUAAAAUAAUAAAUUUAUAUACCAUAUAAAUAAUAUAUAAAAUUGUAUAAUUUAUUAAUUUAAGAUAUUUAAUUUUUUGUUUUUUAAUAUAUUAAUUUAUUUGUAUUAUGACAAAUUUAUUUUUAUCGAAAUAAUAGUAUACAUUUAAGCCACAGUUGCUAACUGAGAUUUCGAUUAUAAUAUUUUUUUACUUUCAAAUUUAGUUAAAAACUAUUAAAUUACAAUUUAUUAUUGAAAUUAAAAAUAUAUACUUUAAUAAUAAAUUAUUUAUAUUUAAACUUAAGAAUCUAGUAUUACUUCAAUAGAUAUAAAUUUAUAAAUAGAAGAUAUUAUAAAUGAAUAUUUUAUUUAUUAAUAAAUUAAUAAUCUUAAAAUAAUAAACUUAUAUAUCAUUCAUCUUUGAUUCCAGCCUGCUUACUCAUUAGAAAAUUGUUGUUUGUUUAAAAAUAGGGAGAAAGAAAAGAAUUUUUUUUUUUUACGAAAUUUACUAGCACUAAUAGUUACCUUUUUUUUUUUUUGACUGUUUCCUCCAACAUUCAUGCAUUUAUUUUAGCUGGUGGUAAAGCAAACCUCGGGUGAUAUGGACUCAUCCUUCUAUGAAGGAUCUAUCCCUUUUAUCUUAUAAAAUGGAUAAUGUUGGGAAGCAUUUAUUGGUUAGUUUCUCACAAGCCCAUACAUGAAGAGAUCCAAUGAGCAAGAAGUGAUGAAUGACAAUUUUUUUUCUCUUACUCUUCAUACUGUGUCUAGGGCCCAUCAUGUCUCCAAAUUUUUCGUUGCCAUCUCAUUCCAGUUGCCGAAUUGAUUCGAUACAUAUUGAAAAACACGACCAAUCAAAUCACAUCAGGUCUAUAUAUAGAUUUUAAUGUGUCAAAAUAAAUAUGAUUAAUAUUUUAAUUAUUAAUUAUUAUUCAUGUAUUGUGUUGACUUGUCAUAAAAUUAAAUAAUAUUUUUUAAAAAAAAAACAAGAUAUUAAGUAAAUUAGCAAUUGAAAAUAUGAAAAUAAAAAUAAAUAACAGUAUAUUUUAUAAAGUUUAUUUAAAAGUGAAGUAUUUAAAUAUGAUAUAUUUAUAAAAAUGACUCUACUACACCUUCAAAUUUUAAUUAUUAUAUUCAUUUAAAUAUCCAAAUAUAUAAAUAUUUUAUAAAUUUAGUAAUGAUAUUUCAAAUUCACAAAAGUUAAAAACUUAACAUUAAGCCCCUGAAAAAUCCAAAAGCGAGUUUAGGAUAGUAAAAGAUAUUACAAUUAUAUAGUUAUGUUUAUUUUUUAAUAAGUAAUAAUAAGUCAUUGAUGUAGAUGACAUAAAUUAUAUUAUAGUUAGUGUUAAUUUAAUAAUAAUUGACUUGAAAGACCUAAAACCCUCAAACAAACCUUUUCUUUUGAUACUUGACGACUCAACUGUAGCUUCAACCUAUCGGGCACUGUAAUGAGCACCUUCAAGCUAAAAACCAAUUAAGACCUAAAAGCAUUUUAUUACCAACCAAAAAAGAAAAAAAAAAAAAGUGAACUGAUUCAUUGGAAAAAUCAAGGUUGGACCAUUUAAGUGCGUUGUAGAUCCAGAUCCAGAUGCUACAAAAUCGAGCCCUGUUUUUCCAUGCAGGUUACCUAUAUGAUGCUUAACUAACAAGGUCGAGGCUCAAACUAGCCCUCAAGACAUUAAUCCUCGCAAUAUACAACUGUAGGCCUGGUGUGAGACACCCAAGCUCACAUGUAUGUCUUGAGUUAGGAUGCGUUGGAAAACAACUUUAAGGAAGGAUAUAAAAUUCAUUCUCCCAAAGUCCCAAUAGAAAAGAGACAAAAAACAUACUAGAAUAAAUGCCAAAUAUUAGAAUCACAAAUCUGUCAUUUUUCCUAAAAAAAUUUCAUUUUCCCUAGAAACUUCAACAAAUGUCUACAUCUUAAAGGACUUUAAUAUUUGGAUGAUAACAAACCAUUUAUGCUAAAAUAGCCGUGAAGAACAUAAACAAAAGAGAAAACCAAAAGUAAUUGGGAAAUUUAAUUUUAUUUUUCUGAAAACCCAGAUUCCGAGAUGGGAAAAAAAUAGGAAAGUGAUAAAAACUUUACAUAAAACAAGCCAAAAAGAAGAUUGGGACCAACCUCAACCUUGAUGUUUUGUAGCUCCAACAAUGUCUCUCUCACAAUGGCCCACUGGUGGGACUAGGGUUUUGAAGAAAAAAAUUACACAGAGAACAGAGCAAGAGAUGGGAAGUUGGGAAAGUAAACAAAAAUAGUAUAAAAAAUUGGGUUUUAUGUUUAUGUGGUUGAUGGGGGACUAUUUUGAACAUUAGUUUUGGAAGAAACCCACUUUUAAUAUUAAGUUUAUGAAGAAGCCCAUUUUGGCCCAAAACUCGCGAGUGGCUAUCUUAGCAAAAAAAACUAAGUUUUGGGGCAAAAUAGCCAUUUCAUGUAAAGAAAUAUCAACUUUAGCCCCCUUAUAAAACUUAUGUUCAAAUUAGCCAUUUUAUUGCCACAUAAGAGNNNNNNNNNNNNCCCCUUAUAAAACUUAUGUUCAAAUUAGCCAUUUUAUUGCCACAUAGGAGCCAUGUUGUAAUUUUUUUUUUCAAAAUUUAAAUUGAAGCCUCAGUUGCCAAUUGAGGCUUCAGUUAUUUUUAUUUUUUUUGCUUUAAAAUUUAAAUAAAAAAUAUUAAAUUUUAAAUUAUUAUUGAAUUUUUUUUAAAAUAUACUUUAAUAAUAAAAAUUUAUAUACUUAAACUUAAAGAUCUAAUAUUACUUCAAUAAAGAUAAUUUGAUAAAUAUAAUAAAUAAAUAUUUUAUUUAUCAAUUAAUUAAUAAUAUUAAAAUAAUAAAUUUAUAUGACAUAUAAAUAAAAUAUAAAAUUAUAUAAUUUAUUAAUUUAAGUUAUAUCACAUGUAAUAUUAGGGAGGGACCUUUUUUUUUCCAUUAUAUAAAUGUUUAAUGAGUUUUUUUUUGUGACUUUGAUGAAACUACUAAAAAUUACAUUUUGUAGUAGUCUUUUUCUAAUUAAUUUUAUUAACUAAUUUCAAAAUGUAUCUUUAAGACAUAUAUAUUGUGUGCAUAAAUAAUAGUUUUUUUUUUACGUUAAAUUAUAAAUAUAUACUUUAAAAUAAUUUAAAAAAAUCUAGAUAUGGAAACUUAAGAAUAUACUAAUAUUUCAAUAAAAAUAAAUUUAUAAAAAUACAAAUAAAUUAGUAUAUUAAAAAUACAACAAAUUAAAUAUCUUAAAUUAAUAAAUUAUAUAAUUUUAUAUCUUAUUUAGAUUUCAUAUAAUACUAAUUUAUUGAUAAAUAAAAUAUUCAUUUAUUAUUAUAUUUACCAAUUUAUCAUUAUUGAAGUAAUAUUACAUCUUUAAGUUUAAAUAUAUAAAUUUUUAUUAGUAAAAUAUAUAUUUUUAAUUUCAAUAAUAAUUUAUAAUUUAAUAUUUUUAAUUAAAUUUUAAAGUAAAAUAAUAAUAAUAAUAACUAAAGCCUCAAUUUCCAAUUGAGGAUUUAGUUAAAAAAUGAAGCCUCAGUUGGAUGAGACUUCAACUAAAUUUUGAAAAAAUAAAUAAAUUAUGACAUGGCUCUUAUGUGGCACUAAAAGGACUAAUUUGAACAUAAGUUUUGUAAGGGGGCUAAAACUGAUAUUUCAUUACAUGAAAGGGUUAUUUUGCCCCAAAACUCAAAAAAGCUCACGUGUUUAGCCACGUCUAUCCUGAUGACAUGGAUAUCUUAUUUUUAGAAUGGCGGUGUUGUCCCAAGUGGUUUCUAUCUUUCUUUUCAUUUUUCUAAUAACCUUUCACGUUCACAGAUGAAAAGUUUUUGUUUAAUUAAAUAAUUUAAAUAGUUUAACUUUUAUUAAAUUUUAGCAAUACUUCUAGAAGUUUCUUCUUAAAAGUUUUAUAGAAAAUACAAGGAAAAAAAAAACCCACCUUAAAUUUUUUUUUUUGUCAAAAUUAUUAUUUUAAAAUAAUAAUAAUAAUAUAAAAAAAUAUCCAUUUAAAAAAGUAAAUUAAUACAUAAAUAUCAAAUAGAGCUUCUAAUUAAAAAUUAAGGAUGUGUUUGGUAAUUGUUUUCGAAAACAAUUUUGAAAAUAGAUUUUUAGAACAGUUUUUGAAAGCUAUUCUCUUAUUUUCGUAGAACAACCCUGAAGUAUCUAGAGAUCUUGUACACUCAAGAUCUUCUGUUUGAUGACUCUAUCUCAAUCUUAGCACCUUAAAGGACAGGUCAAGAAAGCAAAAUCACAAAAGUAGAAGAAGAAAAUCAAUAAAGAAACACCUUUUAUAUAGGUUGCAAAGUCAUGACCACUCCAAGAAUCAAGGCAAACACCCUUAUCAUGGCUUGCCUACUAAUCUCUUGGAAAAAGAAUCCAUUUGUCACAUUGACUUUUGAUUUUCCCGCAUGUUAAAUCCUAAAAGCAAGGAAAUAGGAGGUGAGAAGUUGUAGGAAAAAAAAAAAUGAAAUGUGGAAACAAAAGGCAUUAGUGGCUAGUUAUCAGGAGAGGUAAUCGGGGGUGCCCAUUGAGUGGUGAAUUGGUCUAUAUCCUUGGACCAUCCAUCCUUAACAAGAAAGAUCUCUAACUCUUAGGAGCAUUUAAUGUGAUAUGAUAGAUAUUAAAUAUGAUUGGAUGAUACUCUCAUGGUUACAAAAUGUGUAAGGCCACACCCUAAACCGAGAAAUCUCUAAUCAUUAUCUAAUAUUGAGGUAUGGACAUUUAAGCACCGAUCAACCACCGACAUGGUAAUCGCUCUUAACUAACUUAAACCCUCCCUUUAAAUACCUCUAAAGGCAUCAACAAUAAAGGUAGAAAAGAAUCAUUCCAUCUCUCCCUUUGAUUUCUACUUAUCAUAACCUUGUUUUUCUUCGUUGCACCAUAUGAUCGUUUGAGGUGUAGUGGUCAUUUUGCACCUACUCGCCCUUACCCCCACCUUGACUACCUUAUGUCCAUCCAUUAUAGUAGGAAGUCGACCUAUUAAUUCCUUUAACAAAAGUCUUCUUCACUAAGGCAAUAAAGAGGACACAACAAUAUCUAAUAUCAUUUAACCAAUAUUUUCACCUUAGAUAUAUGUAUCAUUUAAUUUUCAUCAUGGAGUCCAACAAGACUAUGUAUGCUCAAAAUAUUAGCAUGUUUGAUUGACUUGUUAGCACGAGUUAGGAUAAAAGAAGAGAUAACAUAUUAUAUCUUAUGUUAACAAUGAGAUAUGAUAAGUUAUAUUCAACUUCAUUUUUUUGUAUCCUCUUUAAAUGAGAUAUAGUAAUCCUAAGUUGAAAUAUGAAAUAUACAUAUUCCAUGGAUCAUAAGUUUAUUUCUUUCAUCCAUUUUUUUUUUUCAUUUUUUAAAAGUAAAAUAUUUUGCAAAAAAAAAAAAAGGCUAAAAAAAUUAAAAUUUUAGUUUGGACAAAAAGAAUUUAAAAAAUACAUGUAGAAUACUACCGAAAUAAUACUAAUAUAUAGUAUUAUUUAAUAAUCUAUACAAAUGCUUUUAUAUAUUUAACAAAAUGAUGUGAUAUCUUUUACUUAUAAGUUUUAACUAUUUUAAUCAUAAAUAUUAUUAACAAAGAAAUAAAAUUUACUUAAUAAAUUAUAAACUCUAGAAAGAUUUCCAAAUGAUACUAAACAUGUCAGAAAUUUCAUAUAUAUUUUUCAAAGUAGCAAAGAUUGUUGUGAAAAACAUUUUUUAUUUUGAAAAACAAUUAAAACAUUGAAAUGCAAUGUCUUUCGUUUUGUUGUUUAAAUAUCCCAUGGCAUCAUCUGCAAUAUAAUAUCAAGAAUAUCAUAUUACUUGUAAAUAAUCUUCUAAGAUAUCCUUAGAUAUGUAUAUCCUAUCAUGCAUAGUACUCCUAUGAUCCGUAAAUCCUAUCAUAUCAAAUGAGACAAUUUCAUAUAUCAAAGAAAACACCCAAAGAUUGCAACACAUUUACGAAAAGAUAAAUUAAUAAAAUAUUUAAAUUAUAUAGGGGUAAAUAAAACCAUAUAUAAAAACAAAAAAUAAAUAAAUAUAAUAAACAUAAAUUGUAAGUCAUCUAUAACAAAACUUUGGUUUGUUGUUGAGCCAUGUUCAAAUCUUUUUGGCCUUAUGUUUACAACAUGAGUCUCUUGCUUUGUUCCAAAUUUCCAAUGAAGCAUGUAGGCUUGGCCUGAGGUAACAGUUUUUUUCUUCACAUAGGGUUUCUUUUCUUUCUUUCUUUCAUUCUUUCUUUGUUGAGAAGCUCCUCAUUGUCAAGUCCUGAUCAAUCCCUCAUUUUGCCAAGACUCCAAGACUUGUUAAGAAAGAAAACAGAGCUCAGAAGAAAUUAACUCAAAAUCUCACAUCACAUUGUUGAUAAUAUCAAGUGUUUUUUUUUUUUUUUUCAUUGAAAUGAUGAAUUUCAAAUGUUUACAACACCCAUCAAUGUGUGGGGGAGAAGUUCAUGAUUAACAAAGAAAAAUAAUGAGACUUUGAUGGAAGGUAAUGACUGAAACCAAUCUGCUUCUUCAGCUGUAACAAGGGAACAUAUCCAAAGAAGAUGAAUAAGAACCAACCUAAGCUUCCCAACCCCUUAGCGUCGUGGCACAAGCAACUCGCUUCACAUUGAAUGUGAACCCACUCAAAAUAGUUCACGGUCACACCUCCAGCAUUAGCAUAGAUGUCGGGGAGGAUUACAACUCCCUUCUUGGAUAGAAUCUGCAAAGAUAAUAUAUUGUCAAUGCAAACUUCCUUCCUCUAUGGCAAUUAAGUAUGCACCAUGCACAAACACUAUGUUACCUCAUUAGCUUCCGGAUGAUGAUUUGCUGCUUCUAUUAUGAACUUUGCCUUAACAUCCNNNNNNNNNNNNNNNNNNNNNNNNNNNNNNNNNNNNNNNNNNNNNNNNNNNNNNNNNNNNNNNNNNNNNNNNNNNNNNNNNNNNNNNNNNNNNNNNNNNNCCCUCAUUUUGCCAAGACUCCAAGACUUGUUAAGAAAGAAAACAGAGCUCAGAAGAAAUUAACUCAAAAUCUCACAUCACAUUGUUGAUAAUAUCAAGUGUUUUUUUUUUUUUUUUCAUUGAAAUGAUGAAUUUCAAAUGUUUACAACACCCAUCAAUGUGUGGGGGAGAAGUUCAUGAUUAACAAAGAAAAAUAAUGAGACUUUGAUGGAAGGUAAUGACUGAAACCAAUCUGCUUCUUCAGCUGUAACAAGGGAACAUAUCCAAAGAAGAUGAAUAAGAACCAACCUAAGCUUCCCAACCCCUUAGCGUCGUGGCACAAGCAACUCGCUUCACUGCCAAUGUGAAGGCUCCCAUUCGAAGACUGCAGUUGUGCGAUUGACACAUUUCCUUAAUGUUAUGAAAGCUUUGGUCAUAUACUUCUGAAGCUCAUUAUUCACCUUCUCUUCUUCCCACAUAAAACCUUGAAUAUUCUGCCAAUGUGACAUCUUAGGAUUAAUGGUUUUACGUUGGCAGAAUAUUCAAGGUUUUAUGUGGGAAGAAGAGAAGGUGAAUAAUGGGCUUGAGAAGUACAUGACCAAAGCUUUUCAUAACAUUAAGGCAAUGUGUCAAUCGCACAACUGCAGUCUUCGAAUGGGAGCCUUCACAUUGGCAGUGAACCCACUCAAAAUAGUUCACGGUCACACCUCCAGCAUUAGCAUAGAUGUCGGGGAGGAUUACAACUCCCUUCUUGGAUAGAAUCUGCAGAGAUAAUAUAUUGUCAAUGCAAACUUCCUUCCUCUAUGGCAAUUAAGUAUGCACCAUGCACAAACACUAUGUUACCUCAUUAGCUUCCGGAUGAUGAUUUGCUGCUUCUAUUAUGAACUUUGCCUUAACAUCCGCAGCAUUUUCUCUUCAGAGGGGAAAAAACAUGAAUGAGGUUAGAUGAAAUCAUCUGGAUGAGUUAGGUUAAAGGAAGUAAAAUCAUGCCUUUUUCCACUUUUUACCAUCAAAAGAUUUGUGUGGUUUCUAACCUGAAAAACGAUUGGAUAUUCACUUAAUAACUAAAUACAGCACAAGCACAUUUCAUGAAACUUCUGCCAACAAUUAAAGGGUAACAGAACACAUGUAACAUCUUUACCUAAAAAUUGGCAAUUCAUCGUAUGGCAAUUUGAUACAAUUGCAGCAUUCUGAUUCGAUCUUUCAGAUUCAACAUAGUAUCUCAAACAGAGUUGCAUCAUGUUUCUUCAUGGUAUUGAGAUGUGUCUACUUCAUUUUAUGUGUAUGUUCAUUGUUUUUAUGAUCUUAAUGUAUGGAAAAGACAAGUUUCUCAAUUCAAAAAAGGCCCAUGUCAAAAGAAACCCAAAACAAAAAAGGCACCGUAAAGAAGAAACUGAAAGGCAAGGAGCAAGUUUCUGAUGAAAACAAGGACUCAACUUGCUAAGAACUCCACCUAGAGCACAUGGGAUGAGAACAUCACAUUCAUGUGUGAGCAGUUCAUUCGGAUCCAUGUGAUCUCCGCCACUGAAAUUCGUUAGACAACCAGUCUCUUCUUUGUGCCUAAGCAAAUCCACUAUAUCAAGCCCAUUUUGGUUCUUAACAGCUCCAGUGACAUCACUCACCGCUAUGAUUUUACCACCUCUCUCAUGGAUGAGUCUUGCUACCCAAGAUCCAACAUUGCCAAAAUCCUGAAAAGUUUUUUUAUUUUCCAUUUAAAUAACCGAACUUUCUAACUACGCCAAGAACAGAAAUAGAAAGGAUUUAAUCCAAUAUUUUACCUGAAUAACAAAUGUCAAACCCUUAAUUGACUUCCCAUGUUGUGCAAGUAAAGCUUCAGUUGCGAAAACAACACCUUGACCAGUUGCAGCCUCCCUACCGAGGGAUCCACCAAGAUCCUAAAAGCCCAAAUGUAAAUGAGGCCACAGAACAAGAAACAACAGUUACAAAUUCGUUUCUCGACUUCAAAGGUUUACAUAAAUCUAAAUCAUAGAUGCUCAGUUUUUUGUCGCAAAUACUUACUAUUGCCUUUCCAGUCACUAUUUAUAAAUAUUUCCGUUCCAUGAAUGAGAGAAUAUUUCAAGAGUGUUACAGACAAAAGAUAACCUGAGCAUUAGUUCCCAUGUCUGGUGCAGGUAUAUCGGUAUGAGUUCCAAUAAGAUCAUGAAUCUUUUGAGUAAAGACACGAGUAAGACGUUCCAACUCGCUCAUACUCAAGUCCCUUGGGGUGCACCCAAUGCCACCCUUUGCACCACCAUAGGGAAUGUCAACUACAGCGGUCUUCCACGUCAUCAAUUGAGCCAGCGCAUUUACCUCAUCAGGAUCCACCUUUGAAAACAAAUGAAGAAACGUAUCAGUAAAACUAAAUGCAACCAGGUUUUUAUUUGCAAGAAAUCAAAGCAAACAAGUUUGAAGAUGAAAUAAUUCCUUCUAACUCAGCACCAACAAAAUUACGGGCGAACAACUUCUUGAAAGGAAAACAAAACAACUCAUUGAAUUUGAUUAUGCAAAUUGAGAACACACAAAUUAACAUAACAUCCAAAAUAGAAUUCAUCAUGCCACUCAUCAUUUAAAAUUCUAUAUCAAUAUCCAUAUCAUCCCAAAAAGAUUUUCGACUGUAUAAUAAUUAUCAGUUUUAUCGCAUAUUUCGGUUGGACCAUGUUUGCCAAAAUCAUUGAAAACAAUUUCCAAGAUUCAAAAAAAAAAAAAAAAAAUGCACAACCAACAUUUUGAUAUAGAAAUCUUGAACCUGAGAUUUCGAGAUAAUGAUCUUUGUACAAGAUACAAUAAGGGCAUGUUUGGAUCCAUCAUGAAAUGAAAUCAUUCCACUAUUCUUGCAUUUGAACAACUCCCUUUCCAUGGGACACCCAAAAACCACUUAGACAAAACCCAAAUCAACCGGAAAUUCCAAGAACCUAAAAGCAAACCCCCUAAACUCCGUUUGCUUGCCGAGAAAAUAGGGGGAAAAGACAAGAAAAAACAAACUACAAUCCUACAAUCCCGAAUCUCAUGUUCUGUGCUCCAAGAAAUUACAAAGUCAAGUAAGCCCCACAACAUACCUAGACUCUACUACCCUAACAAAAACAAAAAAUUUCAAAUCUCUCCUUUUCAUUCUCAACUUUUCUCAGCAAUCAAACAGGACAAAAUCCGAAAACAAACAAAAGAAUCAGUGAAUCACAAACCUAAGGGUGAUAUCUGAUCCCUCCCUUCAUGGGCCCACGAGCAUUAUCAUGCUGCACACGGAACCCCACAUACGUUGCCAAACUUCCAUCAUCCUUCGGGAUCGCGCACUCCACCUAACAACACCACCACCAAAAGAUCAAAAUUCUGGAAAAAAUUCUCAGGAAACAAACACAACCCAUGAACUCAAAAACAAGAUUCUGGCUAAAGAAAAUAAAUAAAUAAAUAAAUAAUUCCCGGGAAUCAAACAGAACCCAUGAACAAAAACCCCAGAAUUCCAACCUUGAUCUCUCUGAAAGAUAUCAGAAGACUCUUCUCCAGCUUGGAGUCCAACCCAAGAAUGCGGGAAGCAUGGCGAAAAUUGCGGUUAGUGGCUGCUAGAGCAUUCAUUGCCACAAAAACAAAACCCAGAAUAGAAAACGAUUGCUAGAAAAAGAAACAGACCCAGAAAAAAAAAAAAAAGAAAUGCAAGAAAAUGAAAGAAAAAAUUGGAGAAUUGAAGAGUAGAAAGAGAUUACAAUAGAAAUGUGAAUGAACUGACUGAUUGAUAGAAGUAGAGAGCAAGAGGGAGGGACCGGAGGAGGGCAGUUAAGGCGCUCAAGAUGGCAUGUCGGGCAGUUAAGGCGCUCCAGAUGGCAUGUUCAGGUUGUUACAAUCCCCUCUCGAUUAUGCAGAGCUGACUACACGUGCCCUUCCCGCUACCCAAAAUUACUAAAACACCCUUUUCCUUCCCAAACCUAUUUUCUAAUUUCUCUUUUCUAUUUUAAAAAUUAGAAGCUAAAAUGGAAAAUAAUCCUCACUUUAAAAAAUACCUUCAAUUUUUUUAAUUAUAAAUAUAAUAUUAAUUAAUUAUAAAAAAAUUAAUUUUUCAUUUAAAAAAGUGUCUUAAUAUAAAAAAAUAGAGGAUAUUUUAAGCCUCUAUAAAAUAUAUCUUAAUUUAAUUUUAAAUGGACAACAAACCCUUUUUAUUUUAUUUUAUAAAAUAAUGCUCUAUGAAAUAAAUGUGAAUUUAUUAGGGGGUAUUUCAUGCCCAGAAAAAAGUUAUUUUAAAAUUGAAUUUUUUUCAUUUAAAAAUUAUUUUAUUCAAUUUAAUCAAUUUUUUACUUUAACAAAGAUGGAAAAAGAGAGAGAUUAUUUUAGGAAAUAAAAAAUUGGGACCAUUUUGGUAAUUGUGUUUUAAAACGGUUUUGAAAAAUAGUUUUUAAGAACAGUUUUUAAAAAUCCUUUUUUGAUGUUUUGUAGAACAAAAGUCUGUUUUGAGAGCUUAAAAUGUUUAUAAUUUUUUUUAACCAAACUUUUAUUAGAACCAAACUUUUGUCCCAAUAGAAAAGAGACAAAAAAACAUACUAGAAUAAAUACCAGAUAUUAGAAUCACGGAUUUGUCAUUUUUCCUCAAAAAAUUUCAUUUUCCUCAUAAACUUCAACAAACGUUUGCAUCUUAAAGGGCUUUAAUCUUUGGAUGAUAACAAACCAUUUAUGCUAAAAUAGUCGUGAAGGACGUAAACAAAAGAGAAAACCAAAAGCAAUGGGGAAAAAAAAAUUCUGAAAACUGAGAUUCCGAGAUGGGAAAAAAAUAGGAAAGUGUAAAAAACUUUAUAUAAAACAAGCCAAAAAAAAGAUUGGGACCAACCUCAACCUUAAUGUUUUGUAACUCCAACAAUGUCUCUCUCACAGUGGUCCACUGGUGGGGCUAGGGUUUUGAAGAAAAAAAUUACAUAGAGAAUAAAACACGACAUGGGAAGUUGGGAAAGUAAACAAAAAUAGUAUAAAAAAUUAGGUUUUAUGUUUAUGUUGAUUGAUGGGGGCUAUUUUGAACAUUAGUUUUGGAAGAAACCCACUUUUAAUAGUAAGUUUACGAAGAAGCCCAUUUUGGCCCAAAACUCGCGAAUGGCUAUCUUAGCAAAAAAAAACUAAGUUUUGGGGCAAAAUAGCCCUUUCAUGUAAAGAAAUAUCAACUUUAGUCCCCUUAUAAAAUUUAUGUUCAAAUUAGCCAUUUUAUUGCCACAUAGAAGCCAUGUAAUAAUUUUUUUUUUUCCAAAUUUAAAUUGAAGCCUCAGUUGCCAAUUGAGGCUUCAGUUAUUUUAUUUUUUUUGCUUUAAAAUUUAAUUAAAAAUAUUAAAUUUUAAAUUAUUAUUGAAAUUUUAAAAAAAUAUACUUUAAUAAUAAAAAUUUACAUAUUUAAACUUAAAGAUCUAAUAUUACUUCAAUAAAGAUAAUUUGAUAAAUAUAAGAAAUAAAUAUUUUAUUUAUCAAUUAAUUAAUAAUCUUAAAAUAAUAAAUUUAUAUGACAUAUAAAUAAAAUAUAAAAUUAUAUAAUUUAUUAAUUUAAGUUAUAUCACAUGUAAUAUUAGGGAGGGACCUUUUUUUUCCAUUAUAUAAAUGUUUAAUGAGUUUUUUUUUUGUGACUUUGAUGAAACUACUAAAAAUUACAUUUUAUAGUAGUCUUUUUCUAAUUAAUUUUAUUAACUAAUUUCAAAAUGUAUCUUUAAGACAUAUAUAUUGUGUGCAUAAAUAAUAGUUUUUUUUUUACGUUAAAUUAUAAUAUAUGCUUUAAAAUAAUUAAAAAAAUCUAUAUAUGGAAACUUAAGAAUAUACUAAUAUUUCAAUAAAAAUAAAUUUAUAAAAAUACAAAUAAAUUAAUAUAUUAAAAAUACAACAAAUUAAAUAUCUUAAAUUAAUAAAUUAUAUAAUUUUAUAUCUUAUUUAGAUUUCAUAUAACUUUAUUAAUUUAUUGAUAAAUAAAAUAUUCAUUUAUUAUUAUAUUUAUUAAUUUAUCUUUAUUGAAGUAAUAUUACAUCUUUAAGUUUAAAUAUAUAAAUUUUUAUUAUUAAAAUAUAUUUUUUUAAUUUCAAUAAUAAUUUAUAAUUUAAUAUUUUUAAUUAAAUUUUAAAGUAAAAAUAAUAAUAAUAAUAAUAAUUAUAACUGAAGCCUCAAUUGCCAAUUGAGAAUUUAGUUAAAAAAUGAAGGCUCAAGGCUGAGACUUCAACUUAAAUUUUGAAAAAAAAAAAAUUAUGACAUGACUCUUAUGUGGCAAUAAAAGGGCUAAUUUGAACAUAAGUUUUGUAAGGGGGCUAAAACUGAUAUUUCUUUACACGAAAGGGCUAUUUUGCCCCAAAACUCAAAAAAGCUCACGUGUUUUGCCAUGUCUAUCCUGAUGACGUGGAUAUCUUAUUUUUAAAAUGGCAGUGUUGUCCCAAGUGGUUUCCUUUCUUUCUUUUUCUUUUUCUUUUUCUAAUAACCUUCCACGUUCACAGAUGAAAAGUUAUUGUUUAAUUAAAUAAUUUAAAUAGUUUAACUUUUAUUAAAUUUUAGCAAUACUUCUAGAAGUUUCUUCUUAAAAGUUUUAUAGAAAAUACAAGAGAAAAAAAAUAAAAACCCACCUUAAAUUUUUUUUUUUGUCAAAAUUAUUAUUUUAAAGUAAUAAUAAUAAUAUAAAAAAUAUCCAUUUAAAAAAGUAAAUUAAUACAUAAAUAUCAAAUAGAGCUUCUAAUUAAAAAUUAAGGAUGUGUUUGGUAAUUGUUUUCGAAAACAAUUUUGAAAAAUAGAUUUUUAGAACAGUUUUUGAAAGCUAUUCUCUGAUUUUUGUAGAACAACCCUGAAGUAUCUAGAGAUCUUGUACACUCAAGAUCUUCUGUUUGAUGACUUUAUCUCAAUCUUAGCACUUUAAAGGAUGGGUCUUUGGAAGAGAGGAUAGUAUGAUUCUCUUCUCUUUAGAGGUGGUUGAAACCCUAACCCUUAAGAGGUAUUUACAGGAUUCUCUAAUUAGGUUUAAGUGACUUAAACUCACUAAAGGCUUGGGUCACUUAAUUUAACCCAAAAUGGGUCCUAAUGAUUAAUUAACCUCACAAAGCCAUCUAAUUAAUUAAUUAAUUAUCUCAAUCCAGAGACUUGUUCACUAACCCAUUUGCAACCUCUCAUAAUUAUACCAAAGUGUUUUUAUGUACAAAAGUGAAUCUAGAGCUAAUCCAAUCCUCAUAAAUAGUGUCAUCAAGGUAUAUGAGUUCGAUGAGGAACCACUAGAGCCCAUAGGAAUACUAGCUUCCUCAAAAUCCAAUUUUGAAGUUGAUUCAAUACCCCAUUACAGAGAAUCAAUUACACUCCAAUACCCAAUAUAAAUAACAACGAGACAAAAACUCAGGUCUGUGACUUACUAUUUACUACAUGCAAACUGUCUAUGAACUAGUGUUCAUAAUAAAACAAGGUAGUGUUAUCACCUAUCAAGAUUACCUCUCCAAUAAUUGAGCCACAUAUCUCACUUAUUAUGCGAUUAAAUGACAUAUUGUAGUUUAUAAAAAGCUUAUGUCAAAUUCCACUUAAGGAAUUAUUGUGCGCCAUAGAUGUCCUAAUCGCAUGUCAUUUGGAUCACCCAAAGGAACACACUAUUACAAUCCCAUGAAAUAUCAUGGUGCCUCUAAUGAGCACACCUAUUACUUUCGGCUUCCAUCAAUAAUGACCCAAUCCAUGGGAAAUAUAUAAUCAACUCAUGAUUUCACUCGUAGGUCAAAGUCAUUACUAACUUUUACACAAGCUCAAUAUCUUUUCAAGGUUGAGAGUCCAUGCAGUAUAGUAGCUUGGUAAAUCAUGAUUAUCAAUAGUUUGCGUUAUGAUUUAUCAUAAGUCUUGUCUAAUGUGCAUCACAUACACUAGUGUUCUCACCAUGAAAAACUCAUCCCGAUGGCCAAGAUAAACUAUCUCUCUAAUUAGGAGGUGGUGUGCUACUACAAUCCAUGAACUAAUUGUGGACAACUUAUUUACUUACAAGAAACUCAUGAUUUGUAUCCUUUAUGUAACUUCUAGUGCACCUAAGUCAUGUACAAUAUAAGAAAUAUAGAUUGAAUGUUCUAAUCAAUGUCAACAUAUCCAAGGGAUAACAAUGGGAUAGUAAAAUCUAAUUUUGUUGUUGUUGGGAACUCUAAAUUACUCCAUUCCCAUGCCUUGGAUCGUAUAAGGUGCAUGCAAAUCUAUCAUAGGCUCUCUAAAUCUAUCACAACGGAUAAGCUUGUAUUCAAUAACAAUAUGGAUAUCAUAGAAAACAUACAUAUGGAGAAUAAAACCACAUACCUUUGAUCCAGAUAUUCCUAGAUCAAUUUCAAUCGAUGUAGAUAACUCUAAAGUCAUAAAGGGUCUCAUAAACACCAUGAUCUUCCUCCCGAUGACUCUUCCUUGUAUCUAGGCACUAAGAUAGUAGACAUCUCAAUGAUGGUUAUGGUUCUCUCUCCAGACUGAAGGGGAGAAUGGUAAGACUUAGAAACCCUAACCGUUAAAGGAGUAUUUAUAGACUUUUUAUUGGGUUUAAGUGACUUAAACCCACCAUGGGUUUGUGACACUUAAUUUAGCCUAAAAAGGUUGCUAAUUGAUUAAUUAACCAUAUAAAGCUUAAUUAAUCAAUUAGUUUAGUUCAAAGAUAUCACUAACUUAUCUCUUAUGCAACCUUACAUAAUUACCAAAACGCCCUUAUGCACAAAAAUGAACUAAAAACCCAUCCAACCAUCAUAAGUCGUACUAAUAAGGAAUAUGAGCUUAGAACGGGGACCAUUGGGACCUAUAGGAGUAUUGACUCCCUCAUAAUCAAAUUUUGAAAUUCACUCAACAUCCCAUUAUAGAGAGUUAAUUGUACUCUAAUAUCCUAAAUAUAUUACAACAAGACCUCAAGUGUUUUGGUUCGUGACCUACUAUCCACUGCAUACAGACUCCCCAUAAACUAGUAUCUAUAAUCUAAUAAGGUAGUGAUAUCACUUAUCAAGAUUACCUCUUAAAUCCUUGAGUUAUAGAUCCUAAUUAUUAUGUGAUUAGUUGACAUACUCUAACUCCAAGAUGCAUAUGUCAAAUUGCGUUAAAGGAAUUAUUGUGGCCAUAAAUUUCAUGAUCGCAUGUUCUUUGGAUCAUCUAAGGGAACACACUAUCUCAAUCCUAUGAGAUAUCAUUGUGUCUCUGUUGAGAAUACUUAUUGUCACCAACCUCCAUCAACAGUAACUCAAUCCAUAGGGAUAUUUGAUCACUUUAAGGUCUUACCCAUAAGUCAAAGCCUCUUAUUGAUUUUGACACAAACUCAAUAUCCUCUUCAAGUUGAGAGUCUAUGUAGUAUAAUAGCUUGGUGAAUCAUGACAAUUGAUAGUCUUGCGUCAUGAUUCACCAUAGGUCAUUUCCAAUGUGCAUCACAUACAUUAGUGCAUUCACCAGGAGAAACCUAUGACUUGCUGGAUUGCCCAAAUCCAUAGACCAACUAUGGACAACUUAUCUACUUACAAGGAACCCAUAACUUGUAUCUUCUGUGCAACUCUUAUUGCACCCAGGUCAUGUACAAUGUAAGAGACAUUGGUUGAAUGCUCAAAUUAAUAGCAAUACACCACAUGGAUAGCAAGGGGAUAGUUAAGUCUAACUUUGUUAUAUCAUGUCUUGCUUUUAAGGGCUAAAUCCUAACAAUUACAUCAUGUCUUGAUUUUAGGAACUCAAUUCCAACAAUAUACUAUCUCAACCCCAUGAUAUUAUGAUACCUUUAUUAAGAAUAUCUAUUACUAUAUGCUUAAACUACCAAUCACUAAAUCCAUAGGAAAUACAUGAUUAUAUUAGUAUCUCACUCGUAAGGUCAAAGUCGCUAAUGAAAAAACUAAUGCAACAUUCUCUUAAAGUUAAGAACUCAUGUAACAUAGUAGUUUGGAGAAGUUAUGUCAACCUGAUAGUCAUUCAAUCAUGACACUUCGUAGAACUUGUACAAUGUAACCAUACACACUAGUACAUAUACCAUGAGAAAACCCAUCUCGAUGACCAAGACUAGUGAUCCUACCAUUUUGGAGGUAAUGAAUUAUGGCUUCUAAGUUGUUAAAGUUUAUGAAUAUCAUCUUGUAAAGAACCCAUGACUUGGAUCUUCCAUACAACUCCUAGUGUAUUCAAGUCAUAUAAAAUAUAAAUGAUAUUGAACUAAAUGCUCGAACAAGUAAAUAAUCAAAUAGAUAAUGCAAAUAAGAUAGAAAAAUUAAUGCCAUAUAAAAUAAUGAAUCAAGUUUGCUAAAUCAUAUCUCUACUUUGAAGAGCUCUAUCCUAAUAGAUACACUAUUCACACCUAGGUAUGAACUUCUAACAAUUGAAUUUCAUGGUAUCAACACGUUAGAGUUGAGAAGGGUUUCAUGUGGAAGGACAUAUGGAGUGUGAAUGCUCUUGUUUUAUCUUAGUUGAUGUAGUGAAAGAUUACCUUUUGAUAUAUGCUUGCUUGGAUUUUUGGUCCAUCUCUAUCAAUGUGUGCUUUUCUGGAUUAGGAUGAUCACUUCUAUUCUUUUUUAUGUAAGUGUCCUAAUAAGGUUACUGAUUUUUAGCAAGGAAAUCCUUUCCAUUGCCUUAGGUUUUGCUUUCCUUAUUCCAUUUGCUUUUGGUGAUGCUAAGAAAACUAAUUACUCAUUCUCUAAUUAAUCCAACUAGAAUAAGAUAACCGGAUUUGUGUUUCACAUAGAAGAUGCUAUGUUACCAUCUACAGAAGGAUAAGGAUCCUCUGAAAAAGUCAUAUAGGAGAUAUGUAUCACUUGAUAACCCUUGGACUUUGUAAAAGGCAAUAAAAGGGGGGUUAGACAACAACAUAGGAUAAAAGAUUAAAAAAACAAAAAACAAAACAAAAGAGGAUAGAUGGGAGGGGAACAUUGUCUUACCUUAAUAACCCUCCUCCAAAGGCAUAAGGGGAAGGUUGUCCUUACUUAACGACCUUCUUAACCUCUUGUAGCUAGGAGACAUCCUUAUUCUCUCAUAUUUUUUUAAGAGCCAAGGAUCUCCAAGACAUCACACCCACCAUUUCCAUUGAGGAAAAUGUAUUAGGUUUUAAGUCUCUUGACCUAGUAGAAGAUAAGAAACUUCUCUAAAUCCACAUGGUAGCUUGGAGUCAUGUUCAUGACCACGACUGUCAUGAGAAGACUCACAAUAUCAGGAUUGAAUUGAUACAACAACACUCUCACAAAACUAAAGAAAAAAUACCUCACUAACGUUUGAAGCAGUAGCCAUAAUCCAAACUUCAAAUGCUCUAUUGGAAUGUAUCUCUUGACAACAUAUGGAGGCUAGAUUAAUUCCUCUGGAAACAACCAUAAAAACUUCACGGAGAAAAGGAUUUCUAAUUGUUGGUUUAACAUAAUAACAUCUCUAAAGGGAGUCAUAGGUGCUAUCUUGAAGACAAAAAAAAGUUAGAUAAAAUGGAGAAAAGUUGCAAGGAUAAAGGAAUAAGGGUAGAAGAAGGCAAGAAAGCAAAAUCACAAAAGUAGAAGAAGAAAAUCAAUAGAGAAACACCUUUUAUAUAGGUUGCCAAGUCAUAACCACUCCAAGAAUCAAGGCAAACACCCUUAUCAUGGCUUGCCUACUAAUCUCUUGGAAAAAGAAUCCAUUUGUCACAUUGACUUUUGAUUUUCCUGCAUGUUAAAUCCUAAAAGCAAGGAAAUAGGAGGUGAGAAGUUGUAGGAAAAAAAAAAUGAAAUGUGGAAACAAAAGGCAUAAGUGGCUAGUUAUCAGCAGAGGUAAUCGGGGGUGCCUAUUGAGUGGUGAAUUGGUCUAUAUCCUUGUACCAUCCAUCCUUAACAAGAAAGAUCUCUAACUCUUAGGAGCAUUUAAUGUGAUGUGAUAGAUAUUAAAUAUGAUUGGAUGAUACUCUCAUGGUUACAAAAUGUUUAAGGCCACACCCUAAACCGAGAAAUCUCUAAUCAUUAUCUAAUAUUGAGGUAUGGACAUUUAAGCACCGAUCAACCAUCGACAUGGUAACCACUCUUAACUAACUUAAACCCUUCCUUUAAAUACCUCUAAAGGCAUCAACAAUAAAGGUAGAAAAGAACCAUUCCAUUUCUCCCUUUGAUUUCUACUUAUCAUAACCUUGUUUUUUUCGGUGCACCAUAUGAUCGUUCGAGGUGUAGUGGUCAUUUUGCACCUACCCGCCCUUACCCCCACCUUGACUACCUUUUGUCCAUCCAUUAUAGUAGCAAGUCGACCUAGUAAUUCCUUUAACAAAUGUCUUCUUCAUUAAGGCAAUAAAGAGGAUACAACAAUAUCUAAUAUCAUUUAACCAAUAUUUUUACCUUAGAUAUAUGUAUCAUUUAAUUUUCAUUAUGGAGUCCAACAAGACUAUGUAUGCUAAAAAGAUUAGCAUGUUUGAUUGACUUGUUAGCACGAGUUAGGAUAAAAGAAGAGAUAACAUAUUAUAUCUUAUGUUCGGUUAACAAUGAGAUAUGAUAAGUUAUAUUCAACUUCAUUUUUUUGUAUCCUCUUUAAAUGAGAUAUAGUAAUUCCUAAGUUGAAAUAUGAAAUAUACAUAUUCCAUGGAUCAUAAGUUUUUUUUCUUUCAUCCAUUUUUUUUUCAUUUUUUAAAAGUAAAAUAUUUUGUAAAAUAAAAAAAAAAUGACUAAAAAAAUUAAAAUUUUAGUUUGGACAAAAAGAAUUUAAAAAAUACAUGUAGAAUAUUUUACUUAUAAGUUUUAAAUAUUUUAAUCAUAAAUAUUAUUAACAAAGAAAUAAAAUUUACUUAAUAAAUUAUAAACUUUAGAAAGAUUUCCAAAUGAUACCAAACAUGUUAGAAAUUUCAUAUAUUUUUUUCAAAGUAGCAAAGAUUGUUAUGAAAAACAUUUUUUAUUUUGAAAAACAAUUAAAACAUUGAAAUUUCAUUCUGUUGUUUAAUCCUUUUUUAAACCAAAUAAGAGAUCAAUCUAAUAUAUCUCAUCUAAUAUAAUAUCGUUUUUUUCUUCACAUAGGGUUUCUUUUCUUUCUUUGUUGAGAAGCUCCUCAUUGUGAAGUCCUGAUCAAUCCCUCAUUUUGCCAAGACUCCAAGACUUGUUAAGAAAGAAAACAGAGCUCAAAAGAAAUUAACUCAAAAUCUCACAUCACAUUGUUGAUAAUAUCAAGUGUUUUUUUUUUUUCAUUGAAAUGAUGAAUUUCAAAUGUUUACAACACCCAUCAAUGUGUGGGGGAGAAGUUCAUGAUUGACAAAGAAAAAUAAUGAGACUUUGAUGGAAGGUAAUGACCGAAACCAAUCUGCUUCUUCAGCUGUAACAAGGGAACAUAUCCAAAGAAGAUGAAUAAGAACCAACCUAAGCUUCCCAACCCCUUAGCGUUGUGGCACACGCAACUCGAUUCACUGCCAAUGUGAAGGCUCCCAUUCGAAGACUGCAGUUGUGCGAUUGACACAUUGCCUUAAUGUUAUGAAAAGCUUUGGUCAUGUACUUCUGAAGCUCAUUAUUCACCUUCUCUUCUUCCCACAUAAAACCUUGAAUAU
Molecule: long non-coding RNA, 30613 nt
Filed under: Vitis vinifera (wine grape)
Lineage: Eukaryota; Viridiplantae; Streptophyta; Magnoliopsida; Vitales; Vitaceae
Description: long non-coding RNA (VVIN_LNC005304)
Source: RNAcentral